GUCAGAGUAAUACUAAUGGAAAGACUGAGAUGAUGAAGACUCAACUAGAAACACUUCUCUCUCCCAGAUAUCAGUAUCAGACAAAAACUGCACUAUAGGCAUCCAGAGCAUGGUGGAAUUUACUCUGAGGCGAGGACUCAAUACUUGUCUUUCCAUUCUUCCUUAGGACCAUUUUCUUCUUGACAAAAAGAAUAAGGCUAUGAGAUCUCAGCAAAACAACUGUGCCCUGCCCAUCACUUGGCUUUGGAAUAAAAAAAAAUAAUGAUAUAAACUCUUUGACUUCCAGGAAUGAUAUGAACAGGAACUGUAAGAGCAGGAAGUCCAGAUGCUUCUGAGAGGACCCCAGCUCCUAAUUCCCAUUUGUAGACGGCUCAGAUCAAGACAAUCUCUUCAUGAAACAACUCAACACCUACUAAGGACUCAGAGAGCUUUCCCAAGGACCUUUUUUGUACCAAGACAGAAGGACCAAAACCAUCAGCUUUAAAGAAAACUGUGCCCUUCCCAACACUUGGCUUUGGAAAAAAGACAUGAAUGAUAUAAAUUCUCCGACUUCCAGGAACCAUAACUAGCAGGGAAGUCCAGAUGCAUCUGAGAGGCUCCCAUCUCCUGAUUACCAUAUUUGGAAGGCUCCAAUCAAUACUAUCUUUUCAGCAAACCUUCUCAACCACUACCCAGAAAUGACUGAGAUUUCCCAUGGACCACAUAUUUCUUUUUUUUUAUAACAAAGCAGAAGGCCAGCUUCCUUCUUCCCAUCUUUGAUCACUUCAUCCUCUUUUUUCUCCUUCCCAAAGGCUGUUUAUGCUGAAUUAGAGGCCAAAUAGUAAACCCUAGAGGUACUGAAGGACUACUGGAGAGGCAACUUCUGUCAGGACAACACUUGUUUCAUCACAGAAGAAACUAGGGAUCUCCAGGAUACAACAGAUUUUUUUAGAUAGGCCUAAUGGUGAUGUCACUGAGAAUUGCCAUGGCCUACCUGCUAAAGUGUUUUCCUUUCAAUGACCAGAUUCGAGGGUGCCCUUGCAAGGGCCAGACGUGAAGGUUUUCGAGGUUUUACCAUGGUUGUUACUUCAGGACAAACAUAAAAUUCAGGAGGAUGUGCAGGGAGAUGAAUGGCUUGAUGUCCAGGGAAACUUCAACUUCAAUAGGUUCAUAAGAACAAGAGGGAGGUGUUUGGAAUUGCCAUUUGUGGAUUCUACAUUCUUGACCUAGGUGUACAUAAUCCAUGUGAAAAUUCCACCUAACCUCAUAGCUGUAGGAGCCACCAAAUGUAUAGUUGGAACCAGAUGUACAUCUUUCCUGAGAGACACGGCUUGAGCAAGUCAAAUACAGAAGAGAAUGCUACUGGCAAACCAGUGAACCAAAAAUGGAUCUCUUGUUGGUAGUUU
This is a non-coding RNA of Rattus norvegicus (Norway rat), 1385 nucleotides long. NCBI's taxonomy places the organism in Eukaryota, Metazoa, Chordata, Mammalia, Rodentia, Muridae. The record is from RefSeq and is a predicted model, not a curated record.